UCGUACCUAUAAAACGUAUUUUCCUUCAAGUGUAUAUUUUGUGAUUUAUUCCAUACACAUUGCUGUUGCCAGCUUUUAAAGUAAAGGAUAUAAACGAUUGAAGAUUCUAUUUUCUAAGCAGCACUGUGAAUGAAUAAUGAAUAUAUCUAGAUGGAUGGAGUUUGCAGCAUGAAGUGCAAUACUGGAUUUCAGUGGCAGGAAUCAGGUGAUCAACACAAGCUAACCUUCAAAAACGCAAAACGUAAUGAAAAGCCGAUAGCACAUAAUCGAGGUCGAACUUAAAACAAUGGAUGAAUAAUGAUACUUGAUUUAUACAUAUUUUGAAAGAAUGAAGAAGUAAAUUAUAGGUAUUUUUAAUUUAUCAAUAAAAUUGAUUAUUAUUAAUCAUUAUAAUGCAUGAACUUGUAAGUUCAGACAUAAAGAUUUAUUAUUGUGACAGCAGUUGGAGACGGAAAUAACCGCCGGGUUCGAAUGUUAUCGCUAUGAGUGUGGCGACAAUGCAAGCGUCAACACGCAACUGUAGGUACUAAAUAUAAACAAAAGUGCAUUCAGUGAUAUUUGACAUAAUAUUAAAUUAUUCACGCAGAAGUUCGACGCUUACGUUAUAUUAUUGAGUUGAAAAUAUUGAUGAAUAUUAUUUGAAUUUUGGAAUUGUUGCUGUCUGUUUAGAAGGUUAUUGCGUUUUAUGUGGAGUAAUUAAUAUGUUGGAAAUGGAUUCGGAAAGACAGCCGUUGCUAGCAAAUCAAAGAUUUAAACAUUUCAGGCCCCUCAGUCGCGAAGAAGUCAUGAAAUCCCGUGGUCAGUUACAGUGGACAAGUGCACGGGUGUUUGUGAUUCUAAUGUUCUGGAUAGCAAUGGCCAUUUGCCUGUCGCUUGCAGUGGAAAUAAUAAUGUCAUCAAAGUGUGCCCCAGUUUUGAACAAGUUGCCGUCGGUGCCUCCCGUGCAUAUAGCCUUCACACCCCUCCUAUCUCGCUACGAGAACGCUUAAUAUUUUCGAGAUGAGCAGUGAGAAAUAUAAUUUUUAUUGGCUCUCUGACAAAUAUUUCGAAGACAAUAAAUAACUUUUAAUUAUCAUAAAAUAAGUUUUCGUGUAUAUUUUCUAAGCUAAUUACGAUAUUAUUGCGUCUUUUACGUCUGCCAUUUUGUUCAGUUAUAUUUCCAUAUCGCUUUGCAUUUUAUAAUAUUAUGAUAACUGACUGAUAUUUAUGUAUGUUAAUAGGUUAUUUCCUUGGAUAGUUUAUACGUGCAGAAUCUAGACGUAUAAUGCAAGAGGCUCUAUCUAGAGUCUAGAUAGAGCCUCUUUCUGCUAGACAACCGAUGAAAACAGGCCAGGUUUAUUACUUUAGUUUUUUUCCGUGCUCAAAGUAGAGGUUAACUGUCAACCUCAACUUUUUUCGUUGUUUUCACAGCUGUCACAGUAAAUCUACAUACCAUAUUAGUUCUUGUAUAGUCAAAUCAGCUUAAUUUUUGUAACUACUCUACGGCUGCAUUUAGUGCUCGACCGACAGUGCUCACAUCGGUCGAGCGUAGCUCGUGCGACACGCGCAGACCAUGUUACGUUUAGUGCUCGGCUGACAGCAAACUUGAUGGCGCGUGUAGAAUUGCGAAGAAAAAUGAAUCUAUUUUACACCUCUUUAAUAUGUGCGUACUACUUACGCAAACAAUUACGGAAUGAAAGACGGAGAAGAUAUCAUGUUUACCCUAUUAUUAAGGAGCGUCAGAUUGAUGGACAAAUUAUUUAUACAUUAUAUUCGAAAUUGUCAGAACACGAAUUUAUCUUUACGAUUUUUGUUAUGAUGUUACACUCGCGCGUACGGUCGGUCGCUCGGUCAGCACUUAUUUAGUUAUUUAUCGCCGAACUCCAUAGCGAGUCAGCGGACCGAAGAGCUCAACCGACGUUUCUCGUUAGCGGACGUAGCUUUACACGCGUAGAAAUUCAUCAGCGCUGGACUGAACGCGUUCAUAAUAAUAUGUUUUUAUAGUUAUAGCUACGCUCGACCGACGUCGGUCGGUUUAAGCACUAAAUGCAUCGUAAAGAACAGAUUUUGAAAAUAUUUAGAUUUUUUUUUUUUAAAUCAUAAUAAUAUUUCAUUUGAAAAUUAUGUUACUAAUUAUUACGACAAAUGAAAUCCUAUAUUUUUCUAGUCUGAUAAGUAUGACAUUGGAUAAUCAAUAAAUGAAAUAAUUUACCUACUUGAGGAAAUUCAAAUAAAAUACACACACACCUACAUUAGGUUUUUAGUAAAGUUGUGAUUUUUAUUAGAUAUGAUUUAUAUAACUUAUGGUUCCGUGACCUUUGCAGGCUCAUGUUUUUAGUGAGACUGCAAAAAAGGUAAAAAGCACCUACAGCUAAAUUUUUUUUAUUUAAACAAAUGUUCAACACUCGAGUUGAUCAAAGGAAAUAACUACUUGAAUAAAUUAAAUUCCUCGUCGUAGUGCGUAUCAAGUUAUUUAUUUAUUUAUUUAUUUUGAUUAAAACGGUUACAACACCAAUUACAAUAAUCAAGUUUAUUAAACUAUAAUUGUUAGACGCUAUUAUGCGAGGACGCACUAAGUUGGAGCAGCAACUGCACCAACACUUCAGUCUAUUAGUAAAUAGAUCACAAUCAAUGCUUGAGCAUAACUUGAAAAUGUCAUGAAAAGGUUCUAUAUGUAUUUUUUUAAUCCAAUCUGAACCAAUAAUAUGGAUAGAAGGAGAAUAUUAACAAAUAAUUUCUUAAUUAAGUUCUUAAUAUCUUGAGUUCAUCAACCUUCUGGAAACAGAAACGCGAAGAACUUGAUAGUGCCGUGACAUGAAAUUAGAUACGAUAAAACUUAAAGUGUAUUAUGUUAUAGUUUAUAAUAAAAUCCCAAACGUUAUUAAAAAAUUACCAGUUAAAAAAAAUGUAUCGUAAAAAAAAAAUUAACAUCCAACUAUUAUAAUGUGAAAGAUUAUUUGAAUGAUAAAGAUAGUUGGGAUAAAUUUUUCUAAAUGAAUGUUAAUGAAUAUUGUUGCUUUACUCAAUUGAAUGCUAUUGUAACUUUUGUUCCUCAUCGUGACUUGCACUAAAUAAUUUAUAAAGUUUUACAGUCAAAAUUAGUUUUUAUUAUAAGAAAAUUGAAUUAUUGUACUUUUUAAAAUGUAAAUAGUAGGUUAGUAAUAAUUGUUAUCUUUAUAUCAUAUAUCGUUAUGUAUCUAGUUGGUAAGCCUAAAUAUAUAAAUAAAUAUUCUGCGGGAUCCUGGUGUUGCGAUCAUUUUGAGAGUACAUAGAUUUUAAUGAGUUUUGUUGAUUUUGUGAUAGUGGCAUUUGAGAUCUGAAAGGAAUCGGUAGGAGCUGCCCAAUUACACUCCAAAUUUUCAUUUAAUUCUUCAUCAUCAACCGGAAGACGUCCACUGCUGGACAAAGGCCCCAAAGAUCUCCACGACGAUAGGUCCUGCGCUGCCCUCAUCCAACGUAUUCCGGCGAUCUUGACCAGAUCGCCGGUCCAUCUUGUGGGGGGGUUUCCAACCUUUUUAAUUCUAGGCAAUAUCAUUAUAAACUAUUUUUUAAAGAGUUUUUAUUAGUUGUUUUUAUUUAUUAUUGUAUACCUAAGUGCUAACCCGGCACACGAUGUUUUGCCAUAUUAAUUAAUUACCCCACGCUUGCUUAUUUUAUGAAUUGUUAUAUGGAAUAAAAUGUAAUUGAUUCAAU
Leptidea sinapis is the source of this 3672-nucleotide long non-coding RNA. RefSeq lists it as uncharacterized. The record is from RefSeq and is a predicted model, not a curated record. NCBI's taxonomy places the organism in Eukaryota, Metazoa, Arthropoda, Insecta, Lepidoptera, Pieridae. The transcript is spliced from 2 exons.